This 468-nucleotide ribosomal RNA is filed under the name uncultured bacterium. RNAcentral's name for it is "partial 16S ribosomal RNA". It matches the Rfam family "Bacterial small subunit ribosomal RNA", at positions 28 to 507 of the family's 1533-position model. The record is from RNAcentral.
GACAAACGCUGGCGGCGUGCUCAACACAUGCAAGUCGAACGGAAAGGCCCUGCUUUUGUGGGGUGCUCGAGUGGCGAACGGGUGAGUAACACGUGAGUAACCUGCCCUUGACUUUGGGAUAACUUCAGGAAACUGGGGCUAAUACCGGAUAGGAGCUCCUGCUGCAUGGUGGGGGUUGGAAAGUUUCGGCGGUUGGGGAUGGACUCGCGGCUUAUCAGCUUGUUGGUGGGGUAGUGGCUUACCAAGGCUUUGACAGGUAGCCGGCCUGAGAGGGUGACCGGCCACAUUGGGACUGAGAUACGGCCCAGACUCCUACGGGAGGCAGCAGUGGGGAAUAUUGCACAAUGGGCGGAAGCCUGAUGCAGCAACGCCGCGUGCGGGAUGACGGCCUUCGGGUUGUAAACCGCUUUCGCCUGUGACGAAGCGUGAGUGACGGUAAUGGGUAAAGAAGCACCGGCUAACUACGUG